GACGAACGCUGGCGGCGUGCUUAACACAUGCAAGUCGAACGGAAAGGCGCUGCUUUUGUGGGGUGCUCGAGUGGCGAACGGGUGAGUAACACGUGGGUAACCUGCCCUUGACUUUGGGAUAACUUCAGGAAACUGGGGCUAAUACCGGGUAGGAGCUCCUGCUGCAUGUUGGGGGUUGGAAAGAUUCGGCGGUUGGGGAUGUACUCGCGGCUUAUCAGCUUGUUGGUGGGGUAGGUGCUGACCAAGGUUUCGACGGGUAGCCGGCCUGAGAGGGUUAACGGGGACAUUGGGACUGAGAGACGCAGCAGACGCGUACGGGAGGCAGCGGUGGGGAGUAUUGCACAAUGGGGGGAAGCCUGAUGCAGCAAUGCCGGGUGCGGGAUGACGGCUUUCGGGUUGUAAACCGCUUUCGCCUGUGACGAAGCGGGAGUGACGGUAACGGGUAAAGAAGCAACGGCUAACUACGUG
This 468-nucleotide ribosomal RNA is filed under the name uncultured bacterium. RNAcentral describes it as "partial 16S ribosomal RNA". It matches the Rfam family "Bacterial small subunit ribosomal RNA", at positions 28 to 507 of the family's 1533-position model. The record is from RNAcentral.